AAUCACUGUAAUCUUGAUGUGUAUUAAAAACUGAAAUAAACAUCUAUUUUUCAGCUUCAAAUAUUGCUUACUUAUUUUUAUUAAUUAGCUAAUAUUUUUGAUUUUUAUAAUUUAACUUGAUAAUGAAAAUAAGCUUAUGUAAGGUCAAUGCAAUUGUAUUGCUGGAGUGGAGGGUCUAUGCAGAUACACUGCAACAACCAUUUGGUUUAUAAAUGGAGAAAAUAAAGACUUGCACUUUUCAUCUCCAAACAUGGGGAAAACCAUCAAAUGAGAACAGGUACAAACAGCCAUUGACAUUAGAGAAAUUAUUUGGAAAGCCAAAAUAUAAUAUAAAUAUGAAUAAUAUUCCUUCAGUUAGUCCCACUGUAUUAAAUAAUUUUCCAAAGUUAAUUUGUCCACUUCAAAUGUUCCUGCAAAGUUUGCAGCAUUCAGCUGUACCUGUAGCAAAUGAGAUCAACAUCUAACAUCAGUUACAAUAAAAAAUGAAGGAAACUAAAUGUAGAGAGUUAUUAUAAUCAUUUUUAUGAUACCCAAUCAACCCAACAACACAGCAAUAAUUGCCACCAUAACAUUUUUCCACCAUUGUUUACUAGUUCUUAGUUUUUCUAACAGUCACUAGAUUGCACCUCACAUCAAUUGAAUUAAGGUGCCAACAAGCAUAUAGACUUAGAACUACGGUAUAUUAGUAACUUAUUCUAUAUUAGUAAUUUUUUUCUUUCCUCAUUUUUUUAUUUUUAUUUAAAAUGUUAAUAUGUUAGUAACGUACAUCUAAACUUAUAUAUAUAGAUAAUAAACAACAUUCACUCAGAAUAAAAGUUGUUAGGAUAGAGUUGUUAGUAAGCCAAUGUAACCAAACCUGACUCUUUUGAUACAUCCACUGCCAUAAGAAAGAAAGUGUGGAAGUAAAUGCAUCAUCAAUGCACCUCAACCAUUGGGAAAAAAACUAAUAGUUGCAGCACACCAGAGGAGACUGUAUGUCUGUAAAGUUUGAAGUCAUAUCUCCACAUUCACUCUGUGACAUCCACAGCUUCCUAUUUAACACUCCCAUUUCUUCUGUUUAACAGAAACUAACACAAAAGCAGAAGGAAACAAUAAUGAAUACAUAAGAAACAACAGAAAUCAACUUAAAAAUCAAAAUCACAGAAAAAAUAGUAGGAAACAGGUGGAAACACCAAGGAAAUUAAGCAAUAACCCAAAACAAGUUAAAUGAAGGCAGAACAGAGAUGGAAACAGAUAGAAACAUCAGGGAAACAAAGUAGUAUCCAAAGAAAAUAAAUGGACAAGAAGAAACAUGGACAUAAGCUAAAUAUCAGCUAAAAAAAUGCAAAUCACUAAAGCAAAAUAUAGAAAAUUAUAAACAUGGAAACACCAAUAACAUCCCUAAAAACUGCCCAAUACAGAAUUGCUAAACUAUUUAUUACUAAAUACUAAGCCUAAUCUAAUCUGUCUUCUAUACUGCUUGACUACUAAGCAAAUUAAAUAUUCUAAUUCUACUCCAUCAUUCAACUAAUAAAUAAAAACAAUGAGUGAACUAUAUAACUAUAAGUGAACAAUGAGCGUAGCCAUUUUAGGCAAUAGAGAAUCUGAGAGUUGUAAAUGAAGUGGCAAAACACCAAUAACAUCCCUAAAAACUGCCCAAUACAGAAUUGCUAAACUAUUUAUUACUAAAUACUAAGCCUAAUCUAAUCUGUCUUCUAUACUGCUUGACUACUAAGCAAAUUAAAUAUUCUAAUUCUACUCCAUCAUUCAACUAAUAAAUAAAAACGAGUGAACUAUAUUGAAACUAUAAGUGAACAAUGAGCGUAGCCAUUUUAGGCAAUAGAGAAUCUGAGAGUUGUAAAUGAAGUGGCAAAACAACAUAAAAAAACUCAAGCACAAAUUGUCUAACCUGAGUGCUAUUAACAUAGCAGAGGAGACCAAAUGGAAAAAAAUAAUUCAAGCUGUGGAGGACCCCAGUUUACCCAUGGGAAGAAAACACCAAAGGAGGAAAUAAACAGAAGGAAACAAUCAAUAACAUGAUAGCUGGAAUUUAAUAUUUCUAAAAUUCUACAAAUUUUGUGUAUAGGUAAAACUUAUUAAAAUUCUUGAAUUCAAUUAAAAAAUAACUAACAAUUAUAGCAGGAUUAACUGUAGAACUGCCGGACUAAUUACGGUGGUACUGUGCAGCAAUUAGCGUUAAUUAUUAAU
Molecule: long non-coding RNA, 2187 nt
Filed under: Androctonus crassicauda
Lineage: Eukaryota; Metazoa; Arthropoda; Arachnida; Scorpiones; Buthidae
Source: RNAcentral